GACAGAGGGUGCAAACGUUGUUCGGAAUUACUGGGCGUAAAGCGCGUGUAGGCGGCCCUGUAAGUCGGGUGUGAAAUCCCACGGCUCAACCGUGGAAGUGCAUUCGAAACUACAGGGCUAGAGUUCUGAAGAGGAAGGUGGAAUGCUUGGUGUAGAGGUGAAAUUCGUAGAUAUCAAGCGGAACACCGGUGGCGAAGGCGGCCUUCUGGACAGUAACUGACGCUGAGACGCGAAAGCGUGGGGAGCAAACAGG
This 253-nucleotide ribosomal RNA is filed under the name uncultured bacterium. RNAcentral describes it as "partial 16S ribosomal RNA". It matches the Rfam family "Bacterial small subunit ribosomal RNA", at positions 524 to 776 of the family's 1533-position model. The record is from RNAcentral.